Molecule: ribosomal RNA, 114 nt
Filed under: uncultured eukaryote
Lineage: Eukaryota
Description: partial small subunit ribosomal RNA
Rfam family: Bacterial small subunit ribosomal RNA
Source: RNAcentral
GAGGGGCGUCCGAAGUCGCUGAGCUAACCGUAAGGAAGCAGGCGCCGAAGACGAAACUCCUGAUUGGGACUAAGUCGUAACAAGGUAACCGUAGGUGAACCUGCAGAAGGAUCA